GAUGAGUUCCAUCCCUAGGAACAGGAUGCUCUUAUAAAUCCUUUUAAAUUUUACUUCUAGCCUGGAGAACAGCUCCCUCCAGAGAUGACUGUGGCAAGAUCGUCGGUCAAAGAGACCACCAGAGAAGGCACCUCUUCCUUCCAUACACGUCAGAAGUCUGAGGGUGGAGUGUAUCAUGACCCACACUCUGAUGAUGGCACAGCCCCCAAAGAAAACAGACAUAUGUACAAUGAUCCUGUGCCAAGGAGAGUUGGUAGCUUUUACAGAGUGCCAUCUCCACGUCCAGACAAUUCUUUCCAUGAAAAUAAUGUGUCAACUAGAGUUUCUUCUCUACCAUCAGAGAGCAGUUCUGGAACCAACCACUCAAAAAGACAACCAGCAUUCGAUCCAUGGUGAGCAUUUUGGUUUGUUUUUACUCUUCCUUUUUUUAAUUGUAGAUUUAAGAGUUGAAAUAAAUUCUGGAUGAGCUUUUUAGUGUUCUUUCUCCUGCUAGGCCUUUUUUUC
Molecule: long non-coding RNA, 504 nt
Filed under: Rhinopithecus bieti (black snub-nosed monkey)
Lineage: Eukaryota; Metazoa; Chordata; Mammalia; Primates; Cercopithecidae
Description: lncRNA (ENSRBIG00000046704.1)
Source: RNAcentral